UCGGUUUCGGCGGGGGCGAAGAGGCGCACUACCGCAGGCGGUGGCGCGCUCUUCACGCGUCGGUUCGCCUUCUCCGCACAUAGAAACCGGCGCGCCAGGUGCAUGACAUGUGGGCCUGGGCCCCCAUGCCAGAGGUUGGAUCGCUGGUUGCAGCAAAGAUGAAGGGGCGUUGUAACACCCCACUGGUCGCACAGAAUGGAUAAUACCAUAAACCUCAUCCACCAAACUUACUCAACGCAAGAGAUGUAAUAAAGAAAGAAUAUAAAGCAAGAAAAAAUCCGGCAGCACCUCCUUUGAAAACUAGCAUAACAAGGAGGGAAAACAUGAAGCUCAUACAAGAUAUAAAGACAUAUAAUUCACAUAGUAGAAACUGUAAUGCAAAAGUGGUAAAACUUAAUUAUGACCCAACUGAAGUAAAACAAAUGGGAUAAGGAACUCAGCCCACCCCAAAAUAAACGCUCAACUAAGAACAAAGCAAUUCACUAGACUUGUCCAACUCUGAUUAACAACAUUAUUAAAUGGUGAUUCCUUUAUUAAAGGUGUAGUGGCCGUGCUGCUACAUCCCUCUAUUCCCCAAAGCAAAAAUUAGGUGCCUGCAUCAAACAAUGCAAGAUGUGAGAUAACACAUCUCAGCAAGUAAACUUAACAACAACAAAUAGGACAUUGUAAAUCAACUGUGCUUACACAACCACGUGUACAUGACUUCUUUCUUUUCCUUUGAACAGUAAAUUGCAGCAAGUAUACAAGUAACUAAAAACUCAACGCCAAGUAGAAUCACCAUGCACAAGUCCAAAUUAUCCACAUCCACAUAAUAGAUUCAACACCUCUCCCAUGAAUGCACAUGGCUACAAAUGCAAUAAUGACUUCUGCCUCCAUAUCUCUAAGGAUAUGAAGCUGCACCAUACCCCUUCUCGGGCAACAUAUGAUGCUCAAUGUACCGGUACGGUCGGACCAUAAGAUCACGACGAAACUUCAAUGCAAUGGAUGAUGAGUGCAUUAUGCAUGACAACAUCAUAAGUUCUUCCCAAAUAAAAAUGUGCUAGGCAUUUACUUCCACCCAUUCCACAUAAUAACCACUUGAGUAACAUAAUCAAACCUCAAACUCAACAUAUGAAAUCUAUGAAACAUGAACAUUUUCAAAUGUUGGUACUCAAAAGAAAAUAUGAAUUUGAACAUGAUAGCACAACAUAAACAAGUAUAAGACUCCUCAUCUGACAGACGGAAUAACCGUCACAGUUUUACUUGCCUUCACCGGAGUUUGGGCAAAAUCCCUAAGAACGAUCCGGAAGUCCACCACCUGUUUUUGACACCCAACUUAGUGCACCAAAUUCAUAUAAAAAAACUCAAAGACAACACCGCACCUACGCGCAGUCUCAAACCCCGCCGCGGUAACAGUUCUCCCCUCACUAACCAAACUGCAGUGGCGCUGCUUAACAAUUCCAUAACUUAAAAAUUAGGAUAGCAGUGGUGUCAAACGAAAACUUCAGAGACAACUACAUAAAAUUCCCCACAAGUUUUGUAUACAACUCAUGAUUAAAUUCUAACAUCUACUUACCUCUAAACGGUCCACAAAAUAAACCCUGCAAUCUGUUUUUUUCUGAUUUGGGCAGCGACAUACUCGGAUUCAAACAGCGAUAACUUUUAAAAUACAAUUCCGAUUUGAGCGCAUAAGUACUUGUUGGAAAGAUAAGAAAAAGCCCUACAUGAUUCUCAUACUGAUUAACACUAAUUACUCCCGAAAAAUCCCCAGAAACUGCUAAUACUGCUGCUGUUCAUCACUCUGAAAAAUCUGUUUUUUGGACAGCCACAUACCCGGAUUCAAACGAUGAUAACUUUUAAUUUAUAACUCCAAAUUGAGCGCAUAAAUACUCGUUGGAAAGGUAAAACAAAGUUCUACAAGAUCCCCAAAUUGAUCCCCAUUAAUUCUUCACGAAAAAACCCUAAAAACUGCUAGAACUUCCGCUGUUCAUCCACCACGUAAAAUUCUGGACAGCCCCCUCUAUCUAAUCGCAAACGCAACAUCUAAUCAAUUGAAUCGCAGCGCAAAUGAACAAGGGAUGAACAAAAAAAUCACCUUGGGUUCUCCCCCUUUCCUUCCUCCCUUCUUCCCUCCACCAAAACGAUUGGAGAUUCGCACCACGAGACGAUGAUCCGAUCGGCAAGGAUUGACACCUUGGGAGGAGGGGAUUGAGGGGGGGCGGCUAGGGUUUGGUGGCUGCAAGAAUUGAGAGAGGAGGAGAUGGGCAGGGGGGCGGCGGCCAAGGGGGGAAGGAGAAGUGGGG
RNAcentral lists this long non-coding RNA (2282 nucleotides) under Zea mays. RNAcentral describes it as "long non-coding RNA (ZMAY_LNC005875)". Lineage: Eukaryota; Viridiplantae; Streptophyta; Magnoliopsida; Poales; Poaceae. The record is from RNAcentral.